AAUCAGAGGUCAUAGGCAGAUUUGAACAGGUGUGUCUUGAGUCUGGAUUUGAAGAGGGUGAAACUGUCAAUAUUUCUGAUGUCUGGGGGGAGUGAGCUCCAGAGACUGGGAGCAGAGCGGCUGAAAGCUCUGCUCCCCGUGGUAGUGAGACGGCCAGGAGGAACAGCAAGAUGGAGGGAGGAAGACGAUUUGAGGGAAAGGGACGGGUGGUAAUACUUAAAAGGUCUGAAAUACAUGGAGGAGAGAGAUUGUGGAUGGCUUUGAAGGUAUGGAGGAGAAUCUUGAAGAUGGACCUGAAUUUAACUGGAAGCCAGUGAAGCUGCUGGAGAACCGGGGCGAUGUGGUGAAAGGAAGGGGUUCUGGUGAUGAUAUGGGCUGCUGAGUUUUGGACCGGUUAAAGUUCAUGAAGGAGUUUGUAAGGGAGACCAAAAAGAAGUGAAUUGCAGUAAUCGAGACGGGAGGUGACGAGACUGUGGACAAGAAUGGCGGCAGUGUGAUGGGUAAUGGAGACGGUUUAUGGAUCGAAGAUGGAAAUAGGCUGACCGAAUUAUGUCAUUGAUGUGAGCAUGAAAAGAAAGUGAGCUGUUGAGGAUGACACCUAGACUCUUAACCUGAGGGGAGGGGGAGACUGUGGCACUGUCAAUAGUUAAAGAAAAGCUGUCAGAUUUAGAGAUGGUGGAUUUGGUACUGUAAUGUCCAUAAAUGGUCAGUGUUUCAUGUACAGUUUGACACCUUCAGUAUCUGAGAAUAUGGAGACAGGAGUCUACAUGUGUUGCCUUUAAUCUGCCGGAUCCUGCCAUUCCAUCAGCUGGAGUCCGGGCCUCUCUGCAGCUCGGAACACGUGAUAACAUGUUGUCAACAAACCGUUCCCUUCUCAAGGUCCUUCUGUGCCAAGCAGUGGCGGCUGGCCAGUAGAGGGCGAUAGGGCGCCGCCCUCCCAGUUUUUCCAUGUUUUUAAUAUUUAUUUUAAAAAAUAAAUAAAUAAAAUUAACAAUAAUCACAUAUUCUAAGUUAAUUGUGUGUUUUGUAACAAAAAUAAAUCAUAUAUAUAUAUCUAUAUUGGUCUCUGCCGGUCUCUGCCGAGCCUCUGCCGAGCUCUGCCGAGCGGUGGAGGCUGUGUGCUGUUUUUCAAUCGCCCAAACAGGACGAGACCAGCUGUCCAAUUGCUGACAAGAAUAUCAAAGGGCAGGAAUGGGAAUGUAUCCAAUCAGCGUCGACGUUGUUUCAGAACGUUUCAGAAGCAUGAUGGGCGAUGGAGCUACCGCCAAAGGAUUCGUUGGUGUUCGGUAGAACUCGGCAGAGUCGUUUUUGGUCGUGACGCAGAUGUAACAUGGACGCCACCGGUGACUACAACCAGCAUGGAUACCGGAUCUCAGCAGCCACUGAAUUCAGUUCGGUCUCUUCUCCAGCAUCCGUUCGAGAGGAGAACUAUGGUGGAAAAACUUAAUGUCAAAGAGCUUGGACCAGAUCAGCCCGACGUAAAGAUAAGCCAGCAGGAGAAGGAGAGAGAUAAGGCAUGGAUGAGUCAGGAGUUACAGACAUGAAACAUUUUUCUGAGAAGGUGAAGAAACACGAGUCAUCCCGGGCACACAUGGACAACAACACGGUGAAGCUAGCCAUGCUAGGCAGCAGAGCUAACGUUGCCAAGCAGGGAACAACAGCAGCUGGGUGCAGAGGUUUUUCACACCAUCCUGAGCCAUGCAAAAGAAGGUUCUUGUCACCACACCCAUGACCACAGCCGAAUCAGAAAGGUGCUUUUCUACUUUAAAGAGGAUUAAGACUUUCCUUGAGGAACACCAUGACACAGGAUGGGCUGAAUGCUCUUGCCAUGCUCUCCAUGGAAAAAAAAGCUUGUCACAAACAUUCCUGACUUCAAUAAAAAGCUAAUCGAGAGCUUUGCCACUCAGAAGGACAGAAGGGCAAAAUUUCUGUACAAAUGAGGUAUCACACACACACACACAUGCAUCCACUUGAUCUUUGUAUAAAGUUGACCUUGGCACAACACUCCAGAAAUAUUAGUGUAAAUUUCUGGCAUUUUGUCUAAGUAGUGUUUACUACCAUUACUGUAACAGUGACCUGCUCAUAAUUUUUGGUGUUCACUCAAAUGUUGAAACUAAACAAAAUGUUUUUGUUACUUGCCUCUUGCAUUGCCUAUUUACCAUUUAUGGUCGUGUUAUUUUAUGUGCAAUUUAAUGCAGUAUUUUUCAACCUUGGUCCGCAAGCCAGCGUGCCAAUAGUCAGACACACCUGGAUUAAUCAGUUUGUCCAAUGAUGUAAGACAGGAAAUAAAAGAGCUGUGCUUAAUUCAGGAAAUAGUGAAGUUGUGCACAAAGCUCAGAAAGCACAAGUUUGUUUAAAAAUAAAAAAAUAGCACAGCCCCACCAAAAAUAUUUUUCACCAGCCGCCACUGGAAGCCUGUCUGCCUAUCUAGGCCGGACUGGACUGUUCUAAGAGUGACUGUUUUCAGCUCAAAUGAGUUAAUCAUUCGUGAAAUAAUAAUAAUAAUAAUAAUGUUUUGAUUAAUCUGUGCUUGAACUACUGAUAGUUUGAAAUGAAAUGAAUUAUCACAUUGAAUGAUUUAUAUAUAUGGUAAUCAGUAAUGUUUGAUAUGACAAGGCAAUCAUCACCUACACUCACAAGGUUCAUUAGAGAUAAAUUAAAGUUAAGUUAAACUCAUGACUAGGGAUGGGUACCUUUGACAUUUGAAUCGAUCCGGUACUAAUUCCCGGUACCUACGAAUCGAUACCGGUACUUAACGGUACCAAUUUUCGUUACUUUUGAGUGUUUAAUAUUUUAAUUCUCUUUUAUAAUUAAAUAUAUAUUUUUCUCAAUAUAUAACAAUAUUUGACAAAUAUCAUGAUAAAUAACAUACAACUGUUUGUAUUUUAACAUCGUCCUUGUAGUUUUAUAAGCUGAUAAUUAAACUGAAGCAAACAUCUUUACUGUGAACUAAAUUUACUUUGUAUCUUCAUUCCUUUUGCCGUCCUUUUUCAUUUGAUUUUUUCUACUGGGAAGAUAGAAUUUCCGAGGGGAAAGCGAACGCACCAUUAGCUGAUAACAACGGUGGCAAUGGAAGCUAACUUAUCAAGCUAACGUUAUCUUAAACAGUUUAUUUAACUGCUGGAGCAGAUUAAAACGAUGAUGCAGCACACUUAGAUCGUCGCUGGUUUCGUCUUCACCCAAUCACCCGUCGCAUUUAGUAAAGUGAAGCCAAACUUUAGAGCGCGUUCAUGUUCUUCUAGUCGGAAAUUCGGAGUUCCGAGGAGAAAGCGAACGCACCAUUAGCGAAACGGAAGCUAACAUAUCAAGGUAACGUUAUCUUAAACAUUUUAUUUACCUACCGGAGUAGAUUAAGAUGAGGAUGUCUCACUUAGAUCGUUGUCUGUCAUUGGUUUCAUCACCCAGUUACCCAUCACAUUUAGUGAAGUGGACCCAAGCGUUAGCGUGCGUUCUUUCUACCAUGCUGCUCUGUUUACAACUUGCUCGCAGGGACCGACGACAUAACGCUCUUGCACAUGCGCAGCUGUCUUGGCAAGCUCUCGUUAUGAAGGAUGGGUACCGAAACAAGGCACCGUUUGAAAAGACGUGAAUCGGUGCUCGGUCGGUACUAUGGAAUUCGGUCGGUACCUUAAAAAGUACCGAAUUCGGUACCCAUCCCUACUCAUGACACAUAAAUAUUUCUUUACCCCAAAUCAGAGCAUCCGGUAUCUGAAAGAAGGCGUGAUGUUCUGAGGUUCUUGGUAAUAUCCCUUAACACGGCACAUUCCGAUUGGACAAGAAUUCAUAAUAUGAGAAUAUUAAAACAGAGCUCACUUCACGGUGAGUUAGUUCAAGAGAAAGCUAAGGAACGGCCAUCCGGUGCGAAACCUCUUUAACCCAGAGGAUUUUUGACAAGCUGUCAAAGCCUUGCUAAAAGCUGCCUACUGCUGACACAGCACACGGUUCCUGCAGAACAAGCUGAUGCUGUUCCGACUCCCUAAGAGUCCUUCUAGACACAAACGAUUCCAUCCAUCUGUUGUGACCCGGAAACAUCUCUGGACUGGAGAGUCGGUGCUGCGGUUAUUCUACAAACCUCGGUGCCCAGAGUUCAUCCGACCUCCCUGACCUUCGGAUCCGCGAAGAGGGUCUUCCAAAGGGUGAGGUAGACACAGCAUGAAUCGCGUCUGAUGUGGCUUUGAUAAGAAUCAACUUCCUAGUUGAUGCAAGCCAAAUUCUUCCUUUUUGCACCCAGAACUCCGCUCUUCUAGAUACGAAAGUUCUGAUAACCUCACAUUCACACAGUCACCAUACAUCCCAUCCCAUCCACCUAGAUCCAUCCAUCCACAGUAAUCUUAGUUAACUUGUCGUGUUUUUAAUUGUUUGGAAAAUAAAUUCUUACUUUUAUAAACCUGA
Molecule: long non-coding RNA, 4392 nt
Organism: Nothobranchius furzeri (turquoise killifish)
Lineage: Eukaryota; Metazoa; Chordata; Actinopteri; Cyprinodontiformes; Nothobranchiidae
Source: RefSeq, a predicted model, not a curated record